UCCUCUACUCACAUAUGAUGUUCUUGUAUGUUUCCCAUACUUACAAGCAUCACAAACUAAUUUAGAUUUAUCCACUCUACUAAACUCUGAUGGGAACAUUUUUCUCAUAAUUUCAAAAGAUAUAUGUACUAAUCUAUAGUGCAAAAGUAAUACUUUAGCCUCUUCUUCACUUGUGGAAGCCAUCAAAGCUAGACACAUGGCUUCAUUAGUUCUUCCCUGAUCCAAGUACCAAAGUCCAUCACGCCUGACGCCAAUCCCAAGUUUCUUCCAUGUUUUCCUCUCC
Molecule: long non-coding RNA, 283 nt
Filed under: Oryza brachyantha (malo sina)
Lineage: Eukaryota; Viridiplantae; Streptophyta; Magnoliopsida; Poales; Poaceae
Description: long non-coding RNA (OBRA_LNC001768)
Source: RNAcentral